Molecule: ribosomal RNA, 661 nt
Filed under: uncultured bacterium
Lineage: Bacteria
Description: bacterial SSU rRNA
Rfam family: Bacterial small subunit ribosomal RNA
Source: RNAcentral
AGUGGCGGACGGGUGAGUAACGCGUGAGAAUCUGCCUUCAGGUCGGGGACAACAGAGGGAAACUUCUGCUAAUCCCGGAUGAGCCUUAGGGUAAAAAAUUUAUUGCCUGGAGAUGAGCUCGCGUCUGAUUAGCUAGUUGGUAAGGUAAAAGCUUACCAAGGCAACGAUCAGUAGCUGGUCUGAGAGGAUGAGCAGCCACACUGGGACUGAGACACGGCCCAGACUCCUACGGGAGGCAGCAGUGGGGAAUUUUCCGCAAUGGGCGAAAGCCUGACGGAGCAAGACCGCGUGGGGGAGGAAGGCUCUAGGGUUGUAAACCCCUUUUCUUUGGGAAGAACAAAAUGACGGUACCAAAGGAAUCAGCCUCGGCUAACUCCGUGCCAGCAGCUGCGGUAAUACGGAGGAGGCAAGCGUUAUCCGGAAUGAUUGGGCGUAAAGCGUCCGCAGGUGGCAAUGUAAGUCUGCUGUCAAAACCCAGGGCUCAACUCUGGUCAGGCAGUGGAAACUACAUAGCUAGAGUUCGGUAGGGGCAAAGGGAAUUCCCGGUGUAGCGGUGAAAUGCGUAGAGAUCGGGAAGAACAUCGGUGGCGAAAGCGCUUUGCUAGACCGAAACUGACACUCAGGGACGAAAGCUAGGGGAGCGAAUGGGAUUAGAUACCCC